CUUGAACCGGGAACAGAAACACGAGCAUAAAACGCACGUAAACUGCUUGCGUAGUAAGAAGUGCAGAUCUAAGCCAAUUAUUUUACAAAUUGUCCCCCACCACUCAUUCAGGCAGUGUCACAAAAGUGUCAGACUUAAAAUGAACCUGUGACAGUGACUUGUUUACAAAUUUUCAGAAUGUUUUGUUAAACAAAAACCAAAUCGAAACAAACUGCUUUUAUGUUAUGGGGUUAUAGAAUGCAUAUCAGAAGUAGCUUGACUCGAAGAAAAGGAUAGUCCUACUGGAUCCUUGGUUGAGAUGAGAAUGGGUAUCCAGCUGAGUAUUGGUAGAGCUUGCUGUAAGCUGGACACCCUAGUGUAUAUAAUGGGAAUGGUUUUGACUGUCCUAUACCUGCUAGCUGGGGUAGCUGCUAUCAUAUGGUUCGUUCUAACUCACUCUCAGAACCUUGAAUCAGCGGAGGAGAUGUCAGAUCUUUAUCUGGUGAUGAUGGAGAGUGUUAAGG
Molecule: long non-coding RNA, 503 nt
Organism: Eurytemora carolleeae
Lineage: Eukaryota; Metazoa; Arthropoda; Copepoda; Calanoida; Temoridae
Exons: 3
Source: RefSeq, a predicted model, not a curated record